RNAcentral lists this long non-coding RNA (406 nucleotides) under Vulpes vulpes (red fox). RNAcentral's name for it is "lncRNA (ENSVVUG00000008379.1)". Lineage: Eukaryota; Metazoa; Chordata; Mammalia; Carnivora; Canidae. The record is from RNAcentral.
UAGCAUUCAUUAUGACCAUCUCUACAUGUUAGCCUACAGAUAUUUGGGGAAAAGCAUAAAUUAAUGAAUACAGGGACAGGCUGCCAUGACUUAAUGAAACAUAUCAUUUUUGUUUCCCCAUUGGUUUUCUGUCCUUGUAGAGUGAAUUGUCUGAUACAAACAUCUGUUUAUCUCAUGAAGCCAGCAAAGUGAUCCUGUGCAGCGUUUAUGUAAGUUCUGCAGUAAAGCAGUCUGGAUUUUUGGUGGCAAGUGCUUGGCUUCGCAUAGACAUUCAGGUAACCUGGCUUCUUUCACCUAGAAACUCCACUCAGAACUUUCUCCAGCCUGAAAGACAGCAAGGUGGGUUCUCUAUGUCAAAAAGGAAUGUAUUGAAAUCUACGCUCCCCCAACUGUGUUUUUAUGCACU